AUGCACGGAAAAGCAGCAGCAGCAGCAAGAAAGAAAGGAGACAGACGAACGCCAUGAAAAGAUCCCUCUCAAUGCACGAUUACGUCAUAAUGUUUCACUGAUUUCAGAAUCCUUGUAGUUCUCAAGAAGAAACCCUUAUUGCAGAUUCUUAGCAGAUUUCAUGUGAUCAAUAUUCAUUGACAUCCAGAACUAGACUAAGGCCAUCUUUUAGUUGAGUUCAGAACAUGGGGGAGGAUUGAUCCCAUGAGCUUAGAAGAUGGCAGAAAAAGUUUCAACUGUUGUAGGACGUGGUUGGGGACAGUAUUAAUUGACGUGCUUGUUUGGAUGGUGUGAAACAACAAAUAGGAUUAUAGGUGCAUGUGAGUGACCAGGUCCUCACCAUGUUAACAGGGAAGACACUUCAAGUGACGAUGUCAAUAUUUUUGGACAGCCUGCUGGGUUGCUGAUGUAACAGUUUGAAGUUGCACCUGGCAAGAAUCAACAUAGACUUCUCUGGAUUGAGACUUCUGGUGAAGAAUCUCGUCAUUUAAUCUCUUAUCUCUGCAAUUGCUUGUGGCUUGAAGUGAACCUGUUUGAAUAGGAUACAGCUUUCUAGGUCGAGAGAUUUAUUGAACUAUGUUUUUAGCUGGGGUCUUUGAGGAUUGUUUUUACACGCGUUUAUUAGCUUAAUUUUUCUUCUAAUGAUAUGUGGAUGAGGUGGUCAAAUAUUAGUGACCAUGAAUUAGGAUGCUUUGUUUUCAGCAUUAAUUUGUCAUGACUCUUUCAAAGUGAUCAUCAUUUCCAAAAUGAGUAAUUAACUUCUAAACAACUUCUUUUGGACUUUGACCAACAGAAAUUCAGUUAGAAGAGAUCAACUAGACUAAUCAUGUGAGCAUUUUUUUAAAUAAAAAAAAUAACUGAUAUUUUGUUCAGGCUCAAUCCAGCUCUGGUCAAAAUUAUUUCUUUCGUGAGAUAUCCCUUAAAAAAGGGGUUAUCCUUGUAGACUAUUAUGUCUAGGAGGAUAGAAUGUAAAUCAUUAAUAGCUUGUAUUCUUGACUUUCAAGAGAUAAACUUAGACUCACUACAUUGCCAAAAUGAGUGGUGUUAAUGACAAUAAGCAUGAGAGGGUGCUUCCGUAUUACUAAUUGCUAAGACCAACCCAAUAGAAGACCUAAAUUCAAAAAUGUCGUUAUACAUUGCUUAUAAGGAAUAAAAUGUGAGCUCAUUUGGUAGUGUUAUUAUUACCUUAUCCACUUUGUAAUAGUGUAAGAUUACUUGAACAGUAAGUAGGACAUAAUAUAGCUCCAAUUAGAGAAUCUAAUAAAAUUCUAUAACUUGAGCUACCCCUGGUGAGAAUUUUCCCGUUGCCCAUUGUUAUUCAAUUGAAUCUGUGGAUGCUUCUAAGUUUUCUAAACUUGAUUUCUAUCUAGUCUUACGUAGUGUAGAUUGCUAAGGACCAAUGACGCCCAAGGCCCA
Long non-coding RNA from Carica papaya (papaya), 1455 nucleotides. RefSeq lists it as uncharacterized. NCBI's taxonomy places the organism in Eukaryota, Viridiplantae, Streptophyta, Magnoliopsida, Brassicales, Caricaceae. The record is from RefSeq and is a predicted model, not a curated record.